CCUACGGGAGGCUGCAUUAGGGAAUAUUGGGCAAUGGACGCAAGUCUGACCCAGCCACGCCGCGUGAAGGAUGACUGCCCUAUGGGUUGUAAACUUCUUUUGUAUGGGAAGAAACCUCCGAACGUGUUCGGAGCUGACGGUACCAUAAGAAUAAGCAUCGGCUAACUCCGUGCCAGCAGCCGCGGUAAUACGGAGGAUGCAGGCGUUGUCCGGUUUCAAUGGGGCUAAGGCGGAGAAUUGCGUCAGUUUAGAAAGCUCGCAGCUUAACUGUGAAAAUGCCAUUGAAACUGAUUUUCUUGAGUUCGAUUGAGGUAGAUGGAAUGUAUCAUGUAGCGGUGAAAUGCUUAGAUAUGAUACAGAACACCAAUUGCGAAGGCAGUCUACUAAGUCGAUACUGACGCUGAGGCACGAAAGCAUGGGGAGCAAACAGGAUUAGAUACCCGUGUAGUC
Molecule: ribosomal RNA, 450 nt
Filed under: uncultured bacterium
Lineage: Bacteria
Description: partial 16S ribosomal RNA
Rfam family: Bacterial small subunit ribosomal RNA
Source: RNAcentral